GGAAGGGUGGCCGAGUGGUUUAAGGCAGCGGUCUUGAAAACCGCCGAGGCAGUGAUGUCUCCGUGGGUUCGAAUCCCACCCCUUCCGCCA
Molecule: transfer RNA, 90 nt
Filed under: Kaistia sp. SCN 65-12
Lineage: Bacteria; Pseudomonadati; Pseudomonadota; Alphaproteobacteria; Hyphomicrobiales; Kaistiaceae
Also listed under: 2 other names
Description: tRNA-Ser
Rfam family: tRNA
About the family: Transfer RNA (tRNA) molecules are approximately 80 nucleotides in length.
Source: RNAcentral